This 325-nucleotide long non-coding RNA is filed under the name Salmo salar (Atlantic salmon). RNAcentral describes it as "lncRNA (ENSSSAG00000087480.1)". Lineage: Eukaryota; Metazoa; Chordata; Actinopteri; Salmoniformes; Salmonidae. The record is from RNAcentral.
AGAGAGGAGGGGUUGAAGGGCGGGGGGGUGAAGAGAGAGGUGGGGUUGAAGGGCGAGGGGGUGAAGAGAGAGGUGGGGUUGAAGGGCGAGGGGGGUGAAGAGAGGAGGGGGGUUGAAGGGCGAGGGUGAAGAGAGAAGGGAUGUUGGUAUAUAGAGGAAUAUUAAAAUAAGCAAUAAAAUCACUGAUCAAUAAAAUCUAAUACAACUAAAUCAGACACGGAUAACAAUGGGAGAGUAAUUAUGUUGUUGUUGACUUUAUCCAUACUAGCUAGUGUCUAACUCAGGGUGUGACAUCAAUGUGUGUGUGUGUGUGUGUGUGUGUGUG